RNAcentral lists this ribosomal RNA (1339 nucleotides) under Clostridioides difficile. Its description in RNAcentral is "bacterial LSU rRNA". It matches the Rfam family "Bacterial large subunit ribosomal RNA", at positions 1 to 1352 of the family's 2925-position model. Lineage: Bacteria; Bacillati; Bacillota; Clostridia; Peptostreptococcales; Peptostreptococcaceae. The record is from RNAcentral.
UGGUCAAGUUAUUAAGGGUGCAGGGCGGAUGCCUUGGCACUAGGAGCCGAUGAAGGACGUGAUAAGCUGCGAUAAGCUUCGGGGAGUUGCACGUAAACUUUGAUCCGAAGAUUUCCGAAUGAGGAAACUCACUUAGAGUAAUGUCUAAGUAUCAUUAAGUGAAUACAUAGCUUAAUGAGGGGAACUCAGGGAACUGAAACAUCUAAGUACCUGAAGGAAGAGAAAGAAAUUCGAUUCCGUAAGUAGCGGCGAGCGAACGCGGAUUAGCCCAAACCAAUAAAGUUUUCUUUAUUGGGGUUGCGGACAUAUCAUAACGAAGAGGUAUCGUAAUUGAAGAGGUUUGGAAAGACCCACCACAGAAGGUAAUAGUCCUGUAUGUUAAACGAGAAGACUUUAGAUAUGAUCCAGAGUACCACGGGACACGUGAAACCCUGUGGGAAGCAGGAGGGACCACCCUCCAAGGCUAAAUACUACCUAGUGACCGAUAGCGUAUAGUACCGUGAGGGAAAGGUGAAAAGAACCCCGGGAGGGGAGUGAAAUAGAACCUGAAACCCUGCACUUACAAGCUGUGGAAGCACAUUUCUUGUGUGACCGCGUACUUUUUGUAGAACGGGCCAACGAGUUACGUUAAGUAGCAAGGUUAAGCACUUAAGGUGCGGAGCCGUAGCGAAAGCGAGUUUUAACUGAGCGUUCAGUUACUUGACGUAGACCCGAAACCGGGCGACCUACCCAUGAGCAGGAUGAAGCGAAAGUAAAAUUUCGUGGAGGUCCGAACCCACGAGCGUUGAAAAGCUCGGGGAUGACUUGUGGGUAGCGGUGAAAUUCCAAUCGAGCCCGGAGAUAGCUGGUUCUCCCCGAAAUAGCUUUAGGGCUAGCCUCAAGGUGAGAGAUACGGAGGUAGAGCACUGAAUGUCCUAGGGGGUAUUGCACCUACCGAAGACUAUCAAACUCCGAAUGCCGUCAUCUUAUACUUGGGAGUCAGACUGUGGGUGAUAAGAUUCAUAGUCGAAAGGGCAACAGCCCAGAUCGUCAGCUAAGGUCCCUAAAUGUAAGUUAAGUGGUAAAGGAUGUGGGAUUGCACAGACAACCAGGAUGUUGGCUUAGAAGCAGCCACUCAUUCAAAGAGUGCGUAAUAGCUCACUGGUCGAGUGAUCCUGCGCCGAAGAUUUCCGGGGCUAAAACUUACUACCGAAGCUACGGCAUCAGUAAUGAUGGGUAGGGGAGCUUCCCAUACGGGUUGAAGCAUGACCGUAAGGACAUGUGGACAGUAUGGGAGUGAGAAUGUUGGCAUGAGUAGCGAGAUGUGGGUGAGAAUCCCACAGGCCGUAAACCCAAGGUU